Molecule: ribosomal RNA, 750 nt
Filed under: Bacillus sp. (in: firmicutes)
Lineage: Bacteria; Bacillati; Bacillota; Bacilli; Caryophanales; Bacillaceae
Description: bacterial SSU rRNA
Rfam family: Bacterial small subunit ribosomal RNA
Source: RNAcentral
AAUGCAGUCGAGCGAAUCGAUGGGAGCUUGCUCCCUGAGAUUAGCGGCGGACGGGUGAGUAACACGUGGGCAACCUGCCUAUAAGACUGGGAUAACUUCGGGAAACCGGAGCUAAUACCGGAUACGUUCUUUUCUCGCAUGAGAGAAGAUGGAAAGACGGUUUACGCUGUCACUUAUAGAUGGGCCCGCGGCGCAUUAGCUAGUUGGUGAGGUAAUGGCUCACCAAGGCGACGAUGCGUAGCCGACCUGAGAGGGUGAUCGGCCACACUGGGACUGAGACACGGCCCAGACUCCUACGGGAGGCAGCAGUAGGGAAUCUUCCGCAAUGGACGAAAGUCUGACGGAGCAACGCCGCGUGAACGAAGAAGGCCUUCGGGUCGUAAAGUUCUGUUGUUAGGGAAGAACAAGUACCAGAGUAACUGCUGGUACCUUGACGGUACCUAACCAGAAAGCCACGGCUAACUACGUGCCAGCAGCCGCGGUAAUACGUAGGUGGCAAGCGUUGUCCGGAAUUAUUGGGCGUAAAGCGCGCGCAGGUGGUUCCUUAAGUCUGAUGUGAAAGCCCACGGCUCAACCGUGGAGGGUCAUUGGAAACUGGGGAACUUGAGUGCAGAAGAGGAAAGUGGAAUUCCAAGUGUAGCGGUGAAAUGCGUAGAGAUUUGGAGGAACACCAGUGGCGAAAGCGACUUUCUGGUCUGUAACUGACACUGACGCGCGAAAGCGUGGGGAGCAAACAGAUUAGAUACCCUG